CCCAGUGCACCAUGCAAUAUGUGCCCUCCUUACUACCCAUCACCGGUCUAUCCCAUUCCCCCACCCCCUCCCCUCUGUAGCCCUCAGUUUGUUUCCCAGAGUCCAUAGUCUUUCAUGUACAACAAUUUCUAAGAUGUACAUUUUUUAAGUAAAAAGAGUAGGUGACAAACCAGGGUUAUGGUAGGCUACCCCGUAAUUAUGCCAAUGUUUGCACGUAUGUAGACUACCUCUGGAAGGAUAUACAAGAUAUUACUAUUUGUAAUGGUAUCUGCCUCAGGAACAAAGGUGGUAGGGACACAACUUCCCAGCACACUCUCUUGGUAUGUAAGAGUAUGUAAUACGGACAGGUAAUAUCUAGUUUUUUCAAAUGGCUUAUUCGAAAGUCACAUAACAAGGACAUUUUCUUUUGACCUUUCUGAAAACUUGUUUCCCAAAGUGAUGUCUGGCUAUCUAUUAUCUUGGUCACUUUGGUCCUCACCAGAGUCAAAACUUCAGUGAAAGCACUAAUAAGUUAUUAAAAUAAUUAUAUAUUUAUAUAUAUAUAUGGAAUAUAUAUGUAGUUAUAUAUAUAUAAUAGCUAAUAAUUAAAUAUUAUUUUAAAUAUUUAAUUAUUAUUUAAAUAAUUAGAUACCUUCUUUUUUCUUUCUUUCCUUCUUCCUUGUUUUCUUUCUUUUCUAUUUUCAGUAGGGGGGCUAUCUAGAAAGAAGUAUGUUGGGGAAAAUGUAUAAUUGAAGAUAUCCAUGAAUUAAGUACAAGGACAAAUAGUGAAGCUGGUACAGGUCUUUGCUGUUCUCUGAUUCUCAAAAUCACUGGUGGAGGAGAUAGACAGGACACGGCCCCGAUUACAAGACACACAUCAGCCUGGAAGAAGGAGGAAGAAGAGAAGAAGAAGGGGAAGGGAGAAGGAGGAAGAAUUAACAUUGGAGGGCUUACUAUGCGCCGGUCACUGUUCUGAGACUUUUCUAAUAUUAAAUUCAUUUGAUUCCCACAUCAACAGUACAGUUUCUAUUACUAUCCUAAUAUUUUAGAAAGCAGAGCAGUAGGGAUUCAAAAUAAUCUGCCCAAGUCAUACGGCUACUAAAAUCAGAGCCCAGAAUUCCCAAAGUGGGUGUUGCAGUGAUUGUGAACGCUUGUCAUGAACUUGCUGCGUAGACGGACACAUGAGUUGUGUCUUUCCCCUGUGUCAGUUCCAUUUGGUCACAAAGCAAGGUUAACAUAAUUAGCAGAUUCAGGAUCCAAACUCAGUGACAUCUCACCACGUGUUUAACCUUGGCUUGUAGAAGUCACGCAACCAAGGGCACCGGGGUAGCUCAGUUGGUUAAGUGUCUGACUCUUUUUUUUUUUUUAAGAUUUUUUUUUUUUUUAAGAUUUUAUUUAUUUGACAGAGAUAGAGACAGCCAGCGAGAGAGGGAACACAAGCAGGGGAAGUGGGAGAGGAAGAAGCAG
RNAcentral lists this long non-coding RNA (1446 nucleotides) under Ursus maritimus (polar bear). RNAcentral's name for it is "lncRNA (ENSUMAG00000019088.1)". Lineage: Eukaryota; Metazoa; Chordata; Mammalia; Carnivora; Ursidae. The record is from RNAcentral.